This 90-nucleotide transfer RNA is filed under the name Caudoviricetes sp. RNAcentral describes it as "tRNA-Ser". It matches the Rfam family "tRNA". Rfam says of the family: Transfer RNA (tRNA) molecules are approximately 80 nucleotides in length. Their secondary structure includes four short double-helical elements and three loops (D, anti-codon, and T loops). The record is from RNAcentral. Lineage: Duplodnaviria; Heunggongvirae; Uroviricota; Caudoviricetes.
GGAAAGUUGGCAGAGUUUGGUUUAUUGCAUCGGUCUUGAAAACCGAAGAACAGUAAUGUUCCGUGAGUUCAAAUCUCACACUUUCCUCCA